This 710-nucleotide ribosomal RNA is filed under the name Roseovarius sp. RNAcentral's name for it is "bacterial SSU rRNA". It matches the Rfam family "Bacterial small subunit ribosomal RNA", at positions 34 to 793 of the family's 1533-position model. The record is from RNAcentral. Lineage: Bacteria; Pseudomonadati; Pseudomonadota; Alphaproteobacteria; Rhodobacterales; Roseobacteraceae.
CGCAGGGGGGCAGCUACACAUGCAAGUCGAGCGAGAACUUCGGUUCUAGCGGCGGACGGGUUAGUAACGCGUGGGAACGUGCCCUUCACUACGGAAUAGUCCCGGGAAACUGGGUUUAAUACCGUAUACGCCCUUCGGGGGAAAGAAUUUCGGUGAAGGAUCGGCCCGCGUUAGAUUAGAUAGUUGGUGGGGUAACGGCCUACCAAGUCUACGAUCUAUAGCUGGUUUUAGAGGAUGAUCAGCAACACUGGGACUGAGACACGGCCCAGACUCCUACGGGAGGCAGCAGUGGGGAAUCUUAGACAAUGGGCGCAAGCCUGAUCUAGCCAUGCCGCGUGAGUGAUGAAGGCCUUAGGGUCGUAAAGCUCUUUCGCCAGGGAUGAUAAUGACAGUACCUGGUAAAGAAACCCCGGCUAACUCCGUGCCAGCAGCCGCGGUAAUACGGAGGGGGUUAGCGUUGUUCGGAAUUACUGGGCGUAAAGCGCGCGUAGGCGGAUUGGAAAGUUGGGGGUGAAAUCCCAGGGCUCAACCCUGGAACUGCCUCCAAAACUAUCAGUCUAGAGUUCGAGAGAGGUGAGUGGAACUCCGAGUGUAGAGGUGAAAUUCGUAGAUAUUCGGAAGAACACCAGUGGCGAAGGCGGCUCACUGGCUCGAUACUGACGCUGAGGUGCGAAAGUGUGGGGAGCAAACAGGAUUAGAUACCCUGGUAG